UCAGUCCCCCAUGUUACCUCCCUAGGAGAACCUAGUGGCCCCUGCUCCCUACCUUCCUUGUCUGUCUUGUCAUCUAGUUGGCCUGAAAUCCACUAGUUCCUAAAGUGAUGAAGGGUCAGGGACUCCUAGGGGACCUUCUUUCAAUUAGGGACUUGCCCCAGCACCAGGGAGGGCACCAAGAAUUAAGCUAAAGAGAAAGCUCAGUUUGUGAGUGGGGGCAGAGCUGGCUUUCAGCCUGGGCCAACCCUGCCAUAGCAGGCUAUAGCUGGCCCUGUCUUUGGAGAAGCCAGAAGGGAGAGAUGGGUACAUAUCUGGAAGACUUGGUUUCUUCCUUCCAAGCCCUCUGGACUGACUGGUCUGGAAAAGACUACACGGUGUGUGACACCAGCUGAUGAAGAUUUGUGACAAGAUGAUGGUACCUUAGUGGCUGCACCAAGCUCUGGGGCACAAGUCCAUACUG
This 460-nucleotide long non-coding RNA is filed under the name Bos taurus (domestic cattle). RNAcentral's name for it is "long non-coding RNA NONBTAT024679". Lineage: Eukaryota; Metazoa; Chordata; Mammalia; Artiodactyla; Bovidae. The record is from RNAcentral.